AUACGUAGGGGGCGAGCGUUGUCCGGAAUGAUUGGGCGUAAAGGGCGCGUAGGCGGCUUUGCAAGUCAGUAGUGGAAGUCCAUUUUUCAAGGAUGGAAGUGCUACAGAAACUGCGGAGCUUGAGUGCCGGAGAGGUUAUCGGAAUUCCCGGUGUAGCGGUGAAAUGCGUAGAGAUCGGGAGGAACACCAGUGGCGAAGGCGGGUAACUGGACUGCAACUGACGCUGAGGCGCGAAAGUGUGGGGAGCAAACAGGAUUAGAUACCCUGGUAGUCCACACUGUAAACGAUGAAUGCUAGGUGUAGGAGGUAUCGACCCCUUCUGUGCCGCAGUAAACACAGUAAGCAUUCCGCCUGGGGAGUACGGUCGCAAGAUUAAAACUCAAAUGAAUUGACGGGG
This 397-nucleotide ribosomal RNA is filed under the name uncultured bacterium. RNAcentral describes it as "partial 16S ribosomal RNA". It matches the Rfam family "Bacterial small subunit ribosomal RNA", at positions 523 to 918 of the family's 1533-position model. The record is from RNAcentral.